RNAcentral lists this ribosomal RNA (250 nucleotides) under uncultured prokaryote. RNAcentral describes it as "partial 16S ribosomal RNA". It matches the Rfam family "Bacterial small subunit ribosomal RNA", at positions 524 to 773 of the family's 1533-position model. The record is from RNAcentral.
UACGUAGGGAGCGAGCGUUGUCCGGAAUUACUGGGUAUAAAGGGAGCGUAGGCGGGUUUAUAAGUCGGGUGUGAAAUUUAUGGGCUCAACCCAUAAACUGCAUUCGAAACUAUAGAUCUUGAGUGGAGUAGAGGCAGGCGGAAUUCCUAGUGUAGCGGUGAAAUGCGUAGAUAUUAGGAGGAACACCAGUGGCGAAGGCGGCCUGCUGGGCUUUAACUGACGCUGAGGCUCGAAAGCAUGGGUAGCAAAC